This 253-nucleotide ribosomal RNA is filed under the name uncultured bacterium. RNAcentral's name for it is "partial 16S ribosomal RNA". It matches the Rfam family "Bacterial small subunit ribosomal RNA", at positions 524 to 776 of the family's 1533-position model. The record is from RNAcentral.
UACGUAGGGUGCAAGCGUUGUCCGGAAUUAUUGGGCGUAAAGAGCGUGUAGGCGGUCAGGUAGGUCCGUUGUGAAAACUCGAGGCUCAACCUCGAGACGCCGAUGGAAACCAUCUGGCUAGAGUCCGGAAGAGGAGAGUGGAAUUCCUGGUGUAGCGGUGAAAUGCGCAGAUAUCAGGAAGAACACCCGUGGCUAAGGCGGCUCUCUAGUACGGUACUGACGCUGAGACGCGAAAGCGUGGGGAGCGAACAGG